This 1223-nucleotide ribosomal RNA is filed under the name uncultured bacterium. RNAcentral's name for it is "bacterial SSU rRNA". It matches the Rfam family "Bacterial small subunit ribosomal RNA", at positions 246 to 1482 of the family's 1533-position model. The record is from RNAcentral.
UAGUAGGUGAGGUAACGGCUCACCUAGGCGACGAUGGAUAGCCGAGCUGAGAGGCUGAUCGGCCACACUGGAACUGAGACACGGUCCAGACUCCUACGGGAGGCAGCAGGGAAGAAUAUUGUACAAUGGGGGAAACCCUGAUACAGCAACGCCGCGUGAAGGAAGAAGGCCUUCGGGUUGUAAACUUCUGUGAUGGGGGACGAAAAAAAUGACGGUACCCCAAGAGGAAGCCCCGGCAAACUACGUGCCAGCAGCCGCGGUAAUACGUAGGGGGCAAGCGUUGUCCGGAAUCACUGGGCGUAAAGGGCGCGUAGGCGGCCUGUUAAGUUGAAUGUGAAAUCCCCGAGCUCAACUCGGGACGUGCAUUCAAAACUGAUGGGCUUGAGUAUGGUAGAGGUAAGUGGAAUUCCUAGUGUAGCGGUGGAAUGCGUAGAUAUUAGGAGGAACACCAGUGGCGAAGGCGACUUACUGGGCCAUAACUGACGCUGAGGCGCGAAAGCGUGGGGAGCAAACAGGAUUAGAUACCCUGGUAGUCCACGCUGUAAACGAUGAAUACUAGGUGUAGGGGGUAUCGACCCCUUCUGUGCCGCAGCAAACGCAAUAAGUAUUCCGCCUGGGGAGUACGACCGCAAGGUUGAAACUCAAAGGAAUUGACGGGGACCCGCACAAGCAGCGGAGCAUGUGGAUUAAUUCGACGCAACGCGAAGAACCUUACCAGGACUUGACAUCCUCAGAAUCUCCCAGAAACGGGAGAGUGCCUUCGGGAACUGAGAGACAGGUGGUGCAUGGUUGUCGUCAGCUCGUGUCGUGAGAUGUUGGGUUAAGUCCCGCAACGAGCGCAACCCUUAUGUUUAGUUACCAGCGGGUAAUGCCGGGGACUCUAGAUAGACUGCCGGGGAUAACUCGGAGGAAGGUGGGGACGACGUCAAAUCAUCAUGCUCCUUAUGUCCUGGGCUUCACACGUGCUACAAUGGUCGUUACAAAGGGAAGCAACCUCGCAAGGGGAAGCAAAACCGAAAGAGGCGAUCUCAGUUCGGAUUGGGGGCUGCAACCCGCCCCCAUGAAGCCGGAGUUGCUAGUAAUCGCGAAUCAGCACGUCGCGGUGAAUACGUUCCCGGGUCUUGUACACACCGCCCGUCACACCACGGAAGUUGGGGGCACCCGAAGCCAGUGAGCUAACCGCAAGGAGGCAGCUGUCUAAGGUGAAAUCAAUGACUGGGGUG